This 404-nucleotide ribosomal RNA is filed under the name Actinomycetes bacterium. RNAcentral's name for it is "Actinobacteria bacterium partial 16S ribosomal RNA". It matches the Rfam family "Bacterial small subunit ribosomal RNA", at positions 355 to 776 of the family's 1533-position model. Lineage: Bacteria; Bacillati; Actinomycetota; Actinomycetes. The record is from RNAcentral.
UGGGGAAUAUUGGACAAUGGGCGCAAGCCUGAUCCAGCCAUGCCGCGUGAGUGAUGAAGGCCCUAGGGUUGUAAAGCUCUUUCACCGGUGAAGAUAAUGACGGUAACCGGAGAAGAAGCCCCGGCUAACUUCGUGCCAGCAGCCGCGGUAAUACGAAGGGGGCUAGCGUUGUUCGGAUUUACUGGGCGUAAAGCGCACGUAGGCGGACUAUUAAGUCAGGGGUGAAAUCCCGGGGCUCAACCCCGGAACUGCCUUUGAUACUGGUAGUCUUGAGUUCGGGAGAGGUGAGUGGAAUUCCGAGUGUAGAGGUGAAAUUCGUAGAUAUUCGGAGGAAAACCAGUGGCGAAGGCGGCUCACUAGCUCGAUACUGACGCUGAGGUGCGAAAGCGUGGGGAGCAAACAGG